GAUGAACGCUGGCGGCGUGCCUAAUACAUGCAAGUCGAGCGAACAGACGAGGAGCUUGCUCCUCUGACGUUAGCGGCGGACGGGUGAGUAACACGUGGAUAACCUACCUAUAAGACUGGGAUAACUUCGGGAAACCGGCGCUAAUACCGGAUAAUAUAUUGAACCGCAUGGUUCAAUAGUGAAAGACGGUUUUGCUGUCUCUUAUAGAUGGAUCCGCGCCGCAUUAGCUAGUUGGUAAGGUAACGGCUUACCAAGGCGACGAUGCGUAGCCGACCUGAGAGGGUGAUCGGCGACACUGGAGCUGAGACACGGUCCAGACUCCUACGGGAGGCAGCAGUAGGGAAUCUGCCGCAAUGGGCGAAAGCCUGACGGAGCAACGCCGCGUGAGUGAUGAAGGUCUUCGGAUCGUAAAACUCUGUUAUUAGGGAAGAACAAAUGUGUAAGUAACUAUGCACGUCUUGACGGUACCUAAUCAGAAAGCCACGGCUAACUACGUG
This 497-nucleotide ribosomal RNA is filed under the name uncultured bacterium. RNAcentral's name for it is "partial 16S ribosomal RNA". It matches the Rfam family "Bacterial small subunit ribosomal RNA", at positions 28 to 507 of the family's 1533-position model. The record is from RNAcentral.